Molecule: ribosomal RNA, 497 nt
Filed under: uncultured bacterium
Lineage: Bacteria
Description: partial 16S ribosomal RNA
Rfam family: Bacterial small subunit ribosomal RNA
Source: RNAcentral
GAUGAACGCUGGCGGCGUGCCUAAUACAUGCAAGUCGAGCGAACAGAUAAGGAGCUUGCUCCUUUGACGUUAGCGGCGGACGGGUGAGUAACACGUGGGUAACCUACCUAUAAGACUGGAAUAACUCCGGGAAACCGGGGCUAAUGCCGGAUAACAUUUAGAACCGCAUGGUUCUAAAGUGAAAGAUGGUUUUGCUAUCACUUAUAGAUGGACCCGCGCCGUAUUAGCUAGUUGGUAAGGUAACGGCUUACCAAGGCAACGAUACGUAGCCGACCUGAGAGGGUGAUCGGCCACACGGGAACUGGGACACGGUCCAGACUCCUACGGGAGGCAGCAGUAGGGAAUCUUCCGCAAUGGGCGAAAGCCUGACGGAGCAACGCCGCGUGAGUGAUGAAGGUCUUCGGAUCGUAAAACUCUGUUAUUAGGGAAGAACAAAUGUGUAAGUAACUGUGCACGUCUUGACGGUACCUAAUCAGAAAGCCACGGCUAACUACGUG